AUGGCAUCGGCAGCGUUUAAUGGGAGCGCCAUAGAUUCCACUGCUGCUCGCUGCAAACUAUUCAUCAGUUCAUUGGUCACGACAGUUGUUGCGGUGAUAAGAAACCCAACUCAUCCCCCGCCUAGCCAUAUUGAGUGCCCAAACUGCAAAUACCACAUUGAUUGGCCAGGACUCCCCGCUGGUGUUAAAUUUGAUCCAACCGGUCUCGAACUGCUUGAACAUUUAGAAGGAAAAGUUGGCAGGGUACCGUCCCAUGACCUAAUAGAUGAUUUUAUUCCAACCAUAGAGGAGGCUGAAGGAAUCUGCUAUACACAUCCUAAAAAUCUCCCUGGUACCAAGAUGGAUGGGAGAAACAAUCAUUUCUUCCACAAAAUAUCAAAUGCAUACGAUGUUGGCCAGCGCAAGCGUCGCAAGAUUAGCAACAGUGACCAUGUUGUUUGUGAUGUGCAUUUCAGAUGGCACAAAACUGGAAAAUCCAAAGAAAUCUUAGAUAAUAACGGUGUCAUAAAAGGGUGGAAGAAAAUAUUGGUUCUUAACAUGCAUUCUAGGAAAGACGGUAUCACCUCGCGUACAAAAACUAAUUGGACGAUGCAUCAGUAUCACCUUGGGGUAGAUCAAGAUGAAAAGCACGGGGAGCUUGUUGUUUCCAAAGUCUUUUAUCAGUCAAAGAAAGAUGAGCAGCCUGUAAUGUGCCCUGUUAAUGAAGAAUCUGAUCCAUUUGCUGGGGAAAUCGAUCCUACAACCCCAAUGACAUACCCUCCGUAG
Molecule: ribosomal RNA, 765 nt
Filed under: Triticum aestivum (bread wheat)
Lineage: Eukaryota; Viridiplantae; Streptophyta; Magnoliopsida; Poales; Poaceae
Description: partial small subunit ribosomal RNA
Source: RNAcentral